AUUGAACGCUGGCGGCAUGCCUUACACAUGCAAGUCGAACGGUAACAGGUCUUCGGAUGCUGACGAGUGGCGAACGGGUGAGUAAUACAUCGGAACGUGCCUAGUAGUGGGGGAUAACUACUCGAAAGAGUGGCUAAUACCGCAUGAGAGCUACGGAUGAAAGCAGGGGAUCGCAAGACCUUGUGCUACUAGAGCGGCCGAUGGCAGAUUAGGUAGUUGGUGAGAUAAAAGCUUACCAAGCCGACGAUCUGUAGCUGGUCUGAGAGGACGAUCAGCCACACUGGGACUGAGACACGGCCCAGACUCCUACGGGAGGCAGCAGUGGGGAAUUUUGGACAAUGGGCGAAAGCCUGAUCCAGCAAUGCCGCGUGCAGGAUGAAGGCCUUCGGGUUGCAAACUGCUUUUGUACGGAACGAAAAGCCCCGGGUUAAUACCCUGGGGUCAUGACGGUACCGUAAGAAUAAGCACCGGCUAACUACGUGCCAGCCGCCGCGGUAA
This 498-nucleotide ribosomal RNA is filed under the name uncultured bacterium. RNAcentral's name for it is "partial 16S ribosomal RNA". It matches the Rfam family "Bacterial small subunit ribosomal RNA", at positions 30 to 523 of the family's 1533-position model. The record is from RNAcentral.